This 823-nucleotide ribosomal RNA is filed under the name Limosilactobacillus mucosae. RNAcentral's name for it is "bacterial SSU rRNA". It matches the Rfam family "Bacterial small subunit ribosomal RNA", at positions 1 to 783 of the family's 1533-position model. Lineage: Bacteria; Bacillati; Bacillota; Bacilli; Lactobacillales; Lactobacillaceae. The record is from RNAcentral.
UAUGAGAGUUUGAUCCUGGCUCAGGAUGAACGCCGGCGGUGUGCCUAAUACAUGCAAGUCGAACGCGUUGGCCCAACUGAUUGAACGUGCUUGCACGGACUUGACGUUGGUUUACCAGCGAGUGGCGGACGGGUGAAUAACACGUAGGUAACCUGCCCCAAAGCGGGGGAUAACAUUUGGAAACAGAUGCUAAUACCGCAUAACAAUUUGAAUCGCAUGAUUCAAAUUUAAAAGAUGGUUUUGGCUAUCACUUUGGGAUGGACCUGCGGCGCAUUAGCUUGUUGGUAGGGUAACGGCCUACCAAGGCUGUGAUGCGUAGCCGAGUUGAGAGACUGAUCGGCCACAAUGGAACUGAGACACGGUCCAUACUCCUACGGGAGGCAGCAGUAGGGAAUCUUCCACAAUGGGCGCAAGCCUGAUGGAGCAACACCGCGUGAGUGAAGAAGGGUUUCGGCUCGUAAAGCUCUGUUGUUAGAGAAGAACGUGCGUGAGAGCAACUGUUCACGCAGUGACGGUAUCUAACCAGAAAGUCACGGCUAACUACGUGCCAGCAGCCGCGGUAAUACGUAGGUGGCAAGCGUUAUCCGGAUUUAUUGGGCGUAAAGCGAGCGCAGGCGGUUUGAUAAGUCUGAUGUGAAAGCCUUUGGCUUAACCAAAGAAGUGCAUCGGAAACUGUCAGACUUGAGUGCAGAAGAGGACAGUGGAACUCCAUGUGUAGCGGUGGAAUGCGUAGAUAUAUGGAAGAACACCAGUGGCGAAGGCGGCUGUCUGGUCUGCAACUGACGCUGAGGCUCGAAAGCAUGGGUAGCGAACAGGAUUAGAU